This 253-nucleotide ribosomal RNA is filed under the name uncultured bacterium. Its description in RNAcentral is "partial 16S ribosomal RNA". It matches the Rfam family "Bacterial small subunit ribosomal RNA", at positions 524 to 776 of the family's 1533-position model. The record is from RNAcentral.
UACGAAGGGGGCGAGCGUUGUUCGGAAUUAUUGGGCGUAAAGGGCGCGUAGGCGGCCGAUCAAGUCAGAUGUGAAAGUCCUGGGCUUAACCUGGGGACUGCAUUUGAUACUGAUUGGCUUGAAUUCGGGAGAGGAUAGCGGAAUUCCCAGUGUAGAGGUGAAAUUCGUAGAUAUUGGGAAGAACACCGGUGGCGAAGGCGGCUAUCUGGACCGACAUUGACGCUGAGGCGCGAAAGCGUGGGGAGCAAACAGG